This 447-nucleotide ribosomal RNA is filed under the name uncultured Rhodomicrobium sp. Its description in RNAcentral is "bacterial SSU rRNA". It matches the Rfam family "Bacterial small subunit ribosomal RNA", at positions 8 to 501 of the family's 1533-position model. The record is from RNAcentral. Lineage: Bacteria; Pseudomonadati; Pseudomonadota; Alphaproteobacteria; Hyphomicrobiales; Hyphomicrobiaceae.
AGAGUUUGAUCCUGGCUCAGAACGAACGCUGGCGGCAUGCCUAACACAUGCAAGUCGAACGCCUGUAGCAAUACAGGAGUGGCGCACGGGUGAAUAACGCGUGGGAACCUGCCCAAUGGUUCGGGAUAACUGCGGGAAACUGCAGCUAAUACCGGAUAAGCCCUGAGGGGGAAAGAAUUUCGCCGAUGGAGGGGCCCGCGUUGGAUUAGCUAGUUGGUGAGGUAACGGCUCACCAAGGCUACGAUCCAUAGCUGGUCUGAGAGGACGAUCAGCCACACUGGGACUGAGACACGGCCCAGACUCCUACGGGAGGCAGCAGUGGGGAAUAUUGGACAAUGGGGGCAACCCUGAUCCAGCAAUGCCGCGUGAGUGAUGAAGGCCUUCGGGUUGUAAAGCUCUUUUGGCGGGGACGAUGAUGACGGUACCCGCAGAAUAGCCCGAUCCGAU